RNAcentral lists this ribosomal RNA (484 nucleotides) under uncultured bacterium. Its description in RNAcentral is "partial 16S ribosomal RNA". It matches the Rfam family "Bacterial small subunit ribosomal RNA", at positions 30 to 507 of the family's 1533-position model. The record is from RNAcentral.
AUUGAACGCUGGCGGCAUGCUUUACACAUGCAAGUCGAACGGCAGCACGGGGGCAACCCUGGUGGCGCGUGGCGAACGGGUGAGUAAUACAUCGGAACGUGCCCGGUCGUGGGGGAUAACGUAGCGAAAGUUACGCUAAUACCGCAUACGAUCUGAGGAUGAAAGCGGGGGACCUUCGGGCCUCGCGCGAUCGGAGCGGCCGAUGUCAGAUUUGGUAGUUGGUUGGGUAAAGGCCUACCAAGCCGACGAUCUGCGGCUGGUCUGAGAGGACGACCGGCCACACUGGAACUGAGACACGGCCCAGACUCCUACGGGAGGCAGCAGUGGGGAAUUUUGGACAAUGGGCGCAAGCCUGAUCCAGCCAUUCCGCGUGCAGGACGAAGGCCUUCGGGUUGUAAACUGCUUUUGUAUGGAACGAAAAGGCUCUGGCUAAUACCUGGGGCUCAUGACGGUACCGUAAGAAUAAGCACCGGCUAACUACGUG